Molecule: long non-coding RNA, 873 nt
Organism: Triticum dicoccoides
Lineage: Eukaryota; Viridiplantae; Streptophyta; Magnoliopsida; Poales; Poaceae
Exons: 4
Source: RefSeq, a predicted model, not a curated record
GUUACCAACUGAACAACUCUUCGUCUACCUUAUUGUUGUAGAUAAGUAUAGUUCUGAGUUUGGGUAUCUUCUGCUUACCCAAGCAUGGUUUCAUUCCUCUACACAAGCAACAAGGGAUAACCGUCUUCAGAAGGAUGCUGUUCGGCUCCAUGCACCUUAUGUCGUAUGACUGGGCUAGAAGUAACUAGGAGGCUGGCACUAAUGUGCUCAUGACCUCAGAUGCUAGACUUGAAGGCAUCUAUCAUCCCAGCUUUCAGAAUGGAGAAACUCGUGAAUUUCAUAUAUGAUCUCAAUGAAAUAUUUAGGACUUGCGGCAGUGGAUUUAUCUGAUAUUUAUAUUGUACUAAAGAAACAACAUAUGCGCUCCUGAAAUAUCAUUCGGUGGUGUUGACCCAUAUGAUGGCAAUUCGCUCCGGCAAUUCCAGUUUUGUCAGUGGUGGUGCUGCUGCUCCUAUGAUGGUAGACUCGUCUGCCUUCCCUAGCCGCAUCCGUGGUGAUGUAGCUCGGCCUAGGCUACAACCCCCUCUGGUGAUUGAAGAGCUGAUGUUCUUCCACCAGUGGUAGGGGAGUGAUGCUGGAGCAGUACAUCGAUCAACAUAUCACCCUGCCAUUUGGGCAAGGAGAAGAUGGGAUGGCCCUAAUGCAGUGACAUCACCAUGUGGCAAAUCCAGUAGAUGGACACAACAUUGGUGCCUGGGUGAUGGGAUAAAGUACGUGUACUAGUGACAUGAUAUUUGUGCUUCUCAUUGAUUUUAUGUGUUAACAGCUAAAAUUUGUGCUUCUCGUCCAAUCUAUGUUGAUGUGCACUCGUGCACUUGUUGGGCUUUUUUGCUAUGCACUUGUUGGGUUUUGAUCCCUGUUGUGUAGAGGAGU